UACGAAGGGGGCUAGCGUUGCUCGGAAUCAUUGGGCGUAAAGCGCACGUAGGCGGCCUGUUAAGUCGGAUGUGAAAGCCCUGGGCUCAACCCAGGAAGUGCAUUCGAAACUGGCGGGCUUGAAUAUGGAAGAGGGUCGCGGAAUUCCCGGUGUAGUGGUGAUAUGCGUAGAUAUCGGGAGGAACACCUGUGGCGAAGGCGGCUUUCUGGGCCUUACCUGACGCUGAGACGCGAAAGCGUGGGGAGCGAACCGG
RNAcentral lists this ribosomal RNA (253 nucleotides) under uncultured bacterium. RNAcentral's name for it is "partial 16S ribosomal RNA". It matches the Rfam family "Bacterial small subunit ribosomal RNA", at positions 524 to 776 of the family's 1533-position model. The record is from RNAcentral.